This is a long non-coding RNA of Choloepus didactylus (southern two-toed sloth), 995 nucleotides long. RefSeq lists it as uncharacterized. NCBI's taxonomy places the organism in Eukaryota, Metazoa, Chordata, Mammalia, Pilosa, Megalonychidae. The transcript is spliced from 3 exons. The record is from RefSeq and is a predicted model, not a curated record.
GAACAGUCACUCCUUGUUCUUUCCACAACAUGCUGCAUCCUGCACACAGUCCCGUCCCUAGGAACCAGCCCCAAGUCCUGGCUGAGUAGCCUCUUGUCGAACAGUGUUUAAUAUAGCAGAGCAAGGAGAGGAGAAAGAAGAGACUGGCGCCCACAUCGGCCCUUCCCACGAUUCCUGCUACUGCCUCCGUGUGAAUGGGAUGUGAGGCGAACAUCAAGCCGGCCAUGAACGUCCAGUAUCCGUCCCCAAGGAGGAUCUUGGAGAAGCUCGUGAAGAGACCAGUGACUGCCGCAUGCAACAGGACGUUGACAAGAUGGUAGCUCCAGGGAUUCAACCCUCCGAUGGCAUGGUUCAGGCGAAAAGAAAGUGUGCAGAGGGGCCGCCGGGGUGUUGGUCAUGAACCUGCACAUCUAACUGCACCUGAAUGGAAGAAAAACUACUUAAAGGAGGAAAGUGAAAUCCUGGGUCGUCUACUAACACCAGAUUGUAAACCCUUCAAGGGCAGAGCUAAUGACUUCAUAAGCAAUUGCACUUAAUAAAUUGCCACCCUGAAGAUGCUGAAUGAAAAGAGACCUCAGGAAGUAACAAAAAAAAAGGCCUGUUCUCAGACAAUCAAGGGACAGGGAGAAGGUAAGUCUUGCUCAACAGUUCAUCUAAAGGAAUAUGCCUAGUGGAUCCCUCUACCUUCCCGCUGGAAGUUUUCCCCAGGUGCUGACCCAUAACCCAUUGAGAAGUUUUAUGAGCUACAUCUGCCACACCACCCUUCCCCAUUCCAACCAGGCACCCAACCAAAGAAAAGACAAAAAAAAAUUAAAAUUCUGAUUAAAUGUGGUCCACCUGCAUCUGAACUAAGCCCUAGAGCUACUGGCAAGUCCCUCUCAUAGGGCAUCUCUGAACGAGACAGCUCUGUCCUCACCUCAUGUCAAGACCUUGCCCAGACACUCUCCACUCUUAGUGGGAGAAAAUGAGAAGGAGGGGCAUUGGCUAAAUAUUUU